GAUGAACGCUGGCAGUGUACCUAAGACAUGCAAGUCGAACGGAACUUUAGAGGAGCUUGCUUUUCUAAGGUUUAGUGGCGAACGGGUGAGUAACACGUGGGCGACCUACCCCCAAGUACGGAAUAACCCCGGGAAACCGGAGCUAAUACCGUAUGUGCUUAUGUCUUCUUUGACAUACGUAAAGAUUUUAUCGCUUGGGGAUGGGCCCGCGGCGCAUCAGCUAGUUGGUAGGGUAACGGCCUACCAAGGCGACGACGCGUAGCCGACCUGAGAGGGUGACCGGCCACAGGGGCACUGAGGACACGGGCCCCAAUCCUACGGGAGGCAAGCAGUUAGGAAUCUUUCGGCCAUGGGCCGAGAGCCUGACCGGAGCGAACAACUGCGUUAAGGGAUGAAGGGUUUCGGAUCGUAAACUUCUUAAC
This 422-nucleotide ribosomal RNA is filed under the name uncultured bacterium. RNAcentral's name for it is "bacterial SSU rRNA". It matches the Rfam family "Bacterial small subunit ribosomal RNA", at positions 28 to 438 of the family's 1533-position model. The record is from RNAcentral.